AACGUAGGAGGCGAGCGUUAUCCGGAUUUACUGGGCGUAAAGGGCAAGUAGGCGGUAGCUCAAGUUGGAUGUGACAUCUCCCGGCUUAACUGGGAGGGUGCGUACAAUACUAGGUUACUAGAGGGCAGAAGAGGAGAGUGGAACUCCUAGUGUAGCGGUGGAAUGCUCAGAUACUAGGAAGAACACCAGUGGCGAAGGCGACUCUCUGGUCUGUACCUGACGCUGAGAGGCGAAAGCUAGGGGAGCGAACGGG
Molecule: ribosomal RNA, 253 nt
Filed under: uncultured bacterium
Lineage: Bacteria
Description: partial 16S ribosomal RNA
Rfam family: Bacterial small subunit ribosomal RNA
Source: RNAcentral